UACGUAGGGGGCAAGCGUUGUCCGGAUUCAUUGGGCGUAAAGAGCGCGUAGGCGGUCCGAUAAGUCGGCUGUGAAGGUCAGGGGCUCAACCCUUGGAAGCCGGCCGAUACUGUCGGACUAGAGUCCGGAAGAGGCGAGUGGAAUUCCCGGUGUAGCGGUGAAAUGCGCAGAUAUCGGGAGGAACACCAAUGGCGAAGGCAGCUCGCUGGGACGGUACUGACGCUGAGGUGCGAAAGCGUGGGGAGCAAACAGG
Molecule: ribosomal RNA, 253 nt
Filed under: uncultured bacterium
Lineage: Bacteria
Description: partial 16S ribosomal RNA
Rfam family: Bacterial small subunit ribosomal RNA
Source: RNAcentral